GACCUAUGAUAGCUCAGCUGGUUAGAGCGUGGUGCUGAUAACGCCAAGGCUGCAGGUUCGAUCCCCGUAUGGGACA
This 76-nucleotide transfer RNA is filed under the name Podarcis lilfordi (Lilford's wall lizard). RNAcentral's name for it is "tRNA.Ile". It matches the Rfam family "tRNA". Rfam says of the family: Transfer RNA (tRNA) molecules are approximately 80 nucleotides in length. The record is from RNAcentral. Lineage: Eukaryota; Metazoa; Chordata; Lepidosauria; Squamata; Lacertidae.